GCCCCGGUAGCUCAGUCGGAUAGAGCGACCGCCUCCUAAGCGGUAGGCCAGCGGUUCGAUUCCGCUCCGGGGCACCA
This 77-nucleotide transfer RNA is filed under the name Candidatus Nanopelagicales bacterium. RNAcentral describes it as "tRNA-Arg". It matches the Rfam family "tRNA". From Rfam's summary of the family: Transfer RNA (tRNA) molecules are approximately 80 nucleotides in length. Their secondary structure includes four short double-helical elements and three loops (D, anti-codon, and T loops). Lineage: Bacteria; Bacillati; Actinomycetota; Actinomycetes; Candidatus Nanopelagicales. The record is from RNAcentral.